This 280-nucleotide ribosomal RNA is filed under the name uncultured bacterium. RNAcentral describes it as "partial 16S rRNA". It matches the Rfam family "Archaeal small subunit ribosomal RNA", at positions 1046 to 1325 of the family's 1478-position model. The record is from RNAcentral.
CGAGACCCGUGCCCACUGUUACCAGCAUGUCCUCCGGGAUGAUGGGUACUCUGUGGGGACCGCCGGUGUUAAAUCGGAGGAAGGUGCGGGCUACGGUAGGUCAGUAUGCCCCGAAUUUCCCGGGCUACACGCGGGCUACAAUGAAUGGGACAAUGGGUCCCUCCCCUGAAAAGGGCUGGUAAUCUCACAAACCCAUCCUUAGUUCGGAUCGAGGGCUGUAACUCGCCCUCGUGAAGCUGGAAUCCGUAGUAAUCGCGUUUCAAUAUAGCGCGGUGAAUAC